This 408-nucleotide ribosomal RNA is filed under the name uncultured bacterium. Its description in RNAcentral is "partial 16S ribosomal RNA". It matches the Rfam family "Bacterial small subunit ribosomal RNA", at positions 28 to 526 of the family's 1533-position model. The record is from RNAcentral.
GACGAACGCUGGCGGCGUGCUUAACACAUGCAAGUCGAACGAAGUGGCGAACGGGUGAGUCACGCGUAAUCAACCUGCCCUUCAGAGGGGGACAACAGUUGGAAACGACUUCUAAUACCGCAUACUGAAGGAGGGUAUUGCGUUUGAUUAGCGAGUUGGAGGGGUAACGGCCCACCAAGGCGAUGAUCAGUAGCCGGUCUGAGAGGAGGAACGGCCACAUUGGGACGGAGAGACGGCCCAGACUCCUACGGGAGGCAGCAGGGGGGAAUCUUCCGCAAUGGACGAAAGUCUGACGGAGCAACGCCGCGUGAGUGAUGACGGCCUUCGGGUUGUAAAGAUCUGUUAAUCGGGACGCGGUACCGGAAGAGAAAGCCACGGCUAACUACGUGCCAGCAGCCGCGGUAAUUC